UGGAUAGAGUUUGAUCCUGGCUCAGAACGAACGCUGGCGGCAGGCCUAACACAUGCAAGUCGAGCGCGCCCUUCGGGGUGAGCGGCGGACGGGUGAGUAACGCGUGGGAACGUGCCCUUUGCUUCGGAAUAGUCCCGGGAAACUGGGGGUAAUACCGUAUACGCCCUUUUGGGGAAAGAUUUAUCGAUGAAGGAUCGGCCCGCGUUGGAUUAGGUAGUUGGUGGGGUAAUGGCCUACCAAGCCGACGAUCCAUAGCUGGUUUGACAGCAUGAUCAGCCACACUGGGACUGAGACGCGGCCCAGACU
Molecule: ribosomal RNA, 306 nt
Filed under: uncultured Paracoccus PC3
Lineage: Bacteria; Pseudomonadati; Pseudomonadota; Alphaproteobacteria; Rhodobacterales; Paracoccaceae
Description: bacterial SSU rRNA
Rfam family: Bacterial small subunit ribosomal RNA
Source: RNAcentral